CCCUUAGAUGUUCUGGGCCGCACGCGCGCUACACUGAUGCAUGCAACGAGUUUAUAACCUUGGCCUGAAAGGUCUGGGUAAUCUUUUGAACGUGCAUCGUGAUAGGGAUAGAUUAUUGCAAUUGUUAAUCUUGAACGAGGAAUUCCUAGUAAACGCGAGUCAUCAGCUCGCAUUGAUUACGUCCCUGCCCUUUGUACACACCGCCCGUCGCUACUACCGAUUGAACGGUUUAGUGAGGGCCUCGGAUUGGUCUCGGCCCGCUCUUUACCGGGCGGCGCCGUUGGUCGAGAAGACGCUCGAACUUGAUCGUUUAGAGGAAGUAAAAGUCGUAACA
This 334-nucleotide ribosomal RNA is filed under the name uncultured eukaryote. RNAcentral's name for it is "partial 18S ribosomal RNA". It matches the Rfam family "Eukaryotic small subunit ribosomal RNA", at positions 1470 to 1796 of the family's 1831-position model. The record is from RNAcentral.